RNAcentral lists this ribosomal RNA (466 nucleotides) under uncultured bacterium. RNAcentral's name for it is "partial 16S ribosomal RNA". It matches the Rfam family "Bacterial small subunit ribosomal RNA", at positions 28 to 507 of the family's 1533-position model. The record is from RNAcentral.
GACGAACGCUGGCGGCGUGCUUAACACAUGCAAGUCGAACGGAAAGGCCCUGCUUGCAGGGUACUCGAGUGGCGAACGGGUGAGUAACACGUGGGUGAUCUGCCCUUCACUUCGGGAUAAGCUUGGGAAACUGGGUCUAAUACCGGAUAGGAGCCAUCUUUAGUGUGGUGGUUGGAAAGUUUUUUCGGUGUAGGAUGAGCUCGCGGCCUAUCAGCUUGUUGGUGGGGUAAUGGCCUACCAAGGCGGCGACGGGUAGCCGGCCUGAGAGGGUGUACGGCCACAUUGGGACUGAGAUACGGCCCAGACUCCUACGGGAGGCAGCAGUGGGGAAUAUUGCACAAUGGGCGCAAGCCUGAUGCAGCGACGCCGCGUGGGGGAUGAAGGCCUUCGGGUUGUAAACUCCUUUCGCUAGGGACGAAGCUUUUUUGUGACGGUACCUAGAUAAGAAGCACCGGCUAACUACGUG